Molecule: ribosomal RNA, 1359 nt
Filed under: uncultured bacterium
Lineage: Bacteria
Description: bacterial SSU rRNA
Rfam family: Bacterial small subunit ribosomal RNA
Source: RNAcentral
GCUGCAAGUCGAACGGUUAACAGGCAACUCUGUAAUAUGGCGAAAGGGUGAGGAACGCGUGAUAACCUGCCUUCAAGUCGGGAAUACCCCGGGAAACUGGGAUUAACACCGGAUGUGGUUAUAGGAUCGCAUGAUCUUAUUACUAAAAAUUUAUUGCUUGAAGAGGGGCUCGCGUCCCAUUAGCUAGUUGGUGAGGUAACGGCCCACCAAGGCUGUGAUGGGUAGCUGGUCUGAGAGGACGACCAGCCACACUGGGACUGAGACACUGCCCAGACUCCUACGGGAGGCUGCAGUCGAGAAUCUUCCGCAAUGCGCGAAAGCGUGACGGAGCAAUGCCGCGUGCAGGAUGAAGGCCUUCGGGUCGUAAACUGCUGUCAUCAGGGAAGAAAAAAAUGACGGUACCUGAAGGAGGAAGUCACGGCUAACUACGUGCCAGCAGCCGCGGUAAUACGUAGGUGACGAGCGUUGUUCGGAUUUACUGGGCGUAAGGGUCUGUAGGGGCUGAAUAAGUCUGAUGUGAAAUCCCGGAGCUUAACUCCGGAACUGCAUUGGAAACUGUUUGGCUUGAGCAUCAGAGAGGAGAAUGGAAUUCCAGGUGUAGCGGUGGAAUGCGUAGAUAUCUGGAGGAACACCAAAAGCGAAGGCAGUUCUCUGGCUGAUUGCUGACCCUGAGGGACGAAAGCAUGGGGAGCAAACAGGAUUAGAUACCCUGGUAGUCCAUGCCCUAAACGGUGUGAACUUGAUGUAGGAGGAUUUAUCCCCUCCUGUGUCGAAGCUAACGCGAUAAGUUCACCGCCUGGGAACUACGGCCGCAAGGCUAAAACUCAAAGGAAUUGACGGGGGCCCGCACAAGCGGUGGAGCAUGUGGCUUAAUUCGAGGCAACGCGAAGAACCUUACCUGGGUUUGACAUGUAUUGGACAGCUGUAGAAAUACAGUCUCCCGCAAGGGUCGAUACACAGGUGCUGCAUGGCUGUCGUCAGCUCGUGCCGUGAGGUGUUCGGUUAAGUCCGGCAACGAGCGCAACCCGCAUCAUUAGUUGCUACCAAGUAAUGUUGGGCACUCUAAUGAGACUGCCUGUGUUAAGCAGGAGGAAGGCGCGGAUGACGCCAAGUCAGUAUGGCCUUUAUACCCAGGGCUGCACACGUGCUACAAUGGGCGGCACAGAGGGAAGCAAAGUCGUGAGGCGGAGCAAAUCCUGAAAACCGUCCCUAGUUCAGAUUGGAGUCUGCAACUCGACUCCAUGAAGCCGGAAUCGCUAGUAAAGGCGUAUCAGUACGACGCCUUGAUACGUUCCCGGGCCUUGUACACACCGCCCGUCACAUCAUGGGAGCUGAUGCACCCGAAGUCGCUGACUCAAC